GAUGAACGCUAGCUACAGGCUUAACACAUGCAAGUCGAGGGUCAGCAUGAACUUAGCUUGCUAAGUUUGAUGGCGACCGGCGCACGGGUGAGUAACACGUAUCCAACCUGCCGAUGACUCGGGGAUAGCCUUUCGAAAGAAAGAUUAAUACCCGAUGGCAUAGUUCUUCCGCAUGGUGGAACUAUUAAAGAAUUUCGGUCAUCGAUGGGGAUGCGUUCCAUUAGGUUGUUGGCGGGGUAACGGCCCACCAAGCCUUCGAUGGAUAGGGGUUCUGAGAGGAAGGUCCCCCACAUUGGAACUGAGACACGGUCCAAACUCCUACGGGAGGCAGCAGUGAGGAAUAUUGGUCAAUGGACGAGAGUCUGAACCAGCCAAGUAGCGUGAAGGAUGACUGCCCUAUGGGUUGUAAACUUCUUUUAUACGGGAAUAAAGUGAGGCACGUGUGCCUUUUUGUAUGUACCGUAUGAAUAAGGAUCGGCUAACUCCGUGCCAGCAGCCGCGGUAAUACGGAGGAUCCGAGCGUUAUCCGGAUUUAUUGGGCUUAAAGGGAGCGUAGGCGGACGCUUAAGUCAGUUGUGAAAGUUUGCGGCUCAACCGUAAAAUUGCAGUUGAUACUGGGUGUCUUGAGUACAGUAGAGGCAGGCGGAAUUCGUGGUGUAGCGGUGAAAUGCUUAGAUAUCACGAAGAACUCCGAUUGCGAAGGCAGCUUGCUGGACUGUAACUGACGCUGAUGCUCGAAAGUGUGGGUAUCAAACAGGAUUAGAUACCCUGGUAGUCCACACAGUAAACGAUGAAUACUCGCUGUUUGCGAUAUACAGUAAGCGGUCAAGCGAAAGCGUUAAGUAUUCCACCUGGGGAGUACGCCGGCAACGGUGAAACUCAAAGGAAUUGACGGGGGCCCGCACAAGCGGAGGAACAUGUGGUUUAAUUCGAUGAUACGCGAGGAACCUUACCCGGGCUUGAAUUGCAACUGAAUGAUGUGGAGACAUGUCAGCUGCAGGGCCGUUGUGUCGGUGUUGCUUGGUUGUGGUCUGCUCGUGC
RNAcentral lists this ribosomal RNA (1041 nucleotides) under uncultured organism. RNAcentral's name for it is "SSU rRNA". It matches the Rfam family "Bacterial small subunit ribosomal RNA", at positions 28 to 1065 of the family's 1533-position model. The record is from RNAcentral.